This 255-nucleotide long non-coding RNA is filed under the name Eucalyptus grandis. Its description in RNAcentral is "long non-coding RNA (EGRA_LNC001715)". Lineage: Eukaryota; Viridiplantae; Streptophyta; Magnoliopsida; Myrtales; Myrtaceae. The record is from RNAcentral.
CAGCGUGCAAAUUAAAGUUACACCCCACAGCAUACAACGUAUCGAAACAUGGCUUAAUACACAUAUACACCAGAAGAAGGAUCAACCGAGAGGUGUACCUGGUUUCGAGCAGAUUGCGGCUCUGCUUUGGCAUAUUUGGAAAGCCCGUAACCUCUUUGUCUUUCGGCAUCAGCGAACACACCCGGAUCACCUGGUUCAAGCAUCAGUUAAUAUGGUCCAGGCAGGCAGUCGAACCCCACAAAUUGACAUACCGAC